RNAcentral lists this long non-coding RNA (5218 nucleotides) under Sus scrofa (pig). RNAcentral describes it as "lncRNA (ENSSSCG00015006704.1)". Lineage: Eukaryota; Metazoa; Chordata; Mammalia; Artiodactyla; Suidae. The record is from RNAcentral.
CUUCCCAUCUCUGCGCAGAAGGAAUUCAGCGAGAGGCAAAGUGAUAGGCAAGAAAUAGAGUUACUAGGACAGGACGCUUGUGAGAGAUGCAAGCAGGCAGGCAAGGAAGCUCGGCCCCAAGGAUCCAGUGGGCUCCAGUUUUUAUCCUCCAAGGGGAGUGGGGGCUGGAAAAGACCGCCUCCUCCUUUCUGGGAGUACUAGCUCCUCCUCGGUAUCCACAAAGAUCUGUUCUCAAAUCCGCAGAAGGGUGGUCCUCAAACUCUUGCCCUUGGUCUGAAUAUGAAUGCAGCCCUCCGCUCAUCCCCCACCCAAUAAUCUGAGGCAAUUCUCAUGCCUCCUCUAGUCAAGCAAGGCUGCCUUGUGCUGAUGGCUUUUUUGAGCAAUUUAUUAACUUAUGGUGAGCUCCCAAUGUCCCCUAAGUUUCCCUCAUUAUCUGUGGUCCUUUAUUGGGACUUUUAAAACUCCAACUCUAUCAGUUGGACUUUAUACUUCUACAAGGCAUUUGUCAAACUCUGCUCCCUAAGGUUAUUGACUCCCAGGUACAUCCUGUUCUCUGCAAAAGAGCUGCAAUUACCUGCAAACAGACCUCAAAAUAUAAUUGCAUGUGACGGAAGUUAGAAGCAAGGAUAAUAGGCGGGGAGGGAUGGUAUCAGAAAUAGUAAAAGCCAUCGGAAGGAAUGUGGGUAUAGCACUUGACAUUUGUCUGCUAAAUUUGAACUAGAAUCCAAAAAGAGAGUUUCAAGACAUGGUAGAUUUUUCUAAAAGCUCUUGAGAGUUUAAGGUGAACUGUGAAAAACUGAUUAUUUAUUAGUUUUAAUCACAAGAGCAUGCUUAAAGUUAGGCUUGAUUAUAUGACAAUAUCAUAUAAGGAUCUUGGACUUUAUAUUUUAGGCAGUAAGAAGCCUUGAAUGGUUUUAAGAAGGAAUGGAACAAAGUCAUACAGAUAAUUAUUUCAGUGAGGGCAAUGUAAGAACAGGCUAGAGGAUGUUCAAAUGAAGCCUAGUUUACCAUUUUGGAAGUUGAUGCAAAAGUUCAAGUAGGAGAUAACAGAGGUUUAAGGUAAGUAGGAAUGGACAGAAGUUGCCUUUUUUAUUUAAGAAAUACUUAAGAGCAAAUAAAUAGAGACUUAACAGUUCCAUGAAGAAAAAUAGCCAUGGAUGGCUACAGGUUUCUGUAUUUGGUUACCGAGUUAACAGAGGAAUAUGACCAUGAGAAAAUAGUCUCUUUCAGAAUUAACAGGAUGUAUAACAAGUGUUUCUGGAACAUUCCUAUUGAGCUAUCUAUUAGGCAGUUGAAUAUAAGUGNUCUGAAGUUUCAAAGGAAGAUCGGGAUACCAGAUAAGAAUGUGCACUCAUUAUUUUAUCAUGUUUACCAUAGUAUAAGAAGUUUCAGGAAAAGUUUGUAGAGUCAGAAAAGAAGUAAGCCAUUGAACCUGGGUAAUAGAAUGCUUCGAGAAUAACAAAGCCACAUCAGAUGUUAAUUGACCACCUCUUUCAGGCUAGAUAGUAUAAUUUAACUGAUCUGUGGUUUAACUGCCUGGUCCCUUUAUUGUAAUAUCUAUUCAAAUGAUAAUUAGAGAUGCCUUUCUUAACCACUUCAUCUAAAAUAUCUGUCCUCUACUUUACCACCUCCAACUCUAUUUUUUUUUUUCCCUAUCUGCUUACCUUCUUUUUAUUUCAUAGUACACACAACUAGCUGGCAUUGUAUUACAUGUUCAUGGGUAUAUUUAUUUUGUAUUUUAUUCAGGAGAAUUAUAGUCCUGUGAAGACCAAGUCCCCCGACACACACCAAAUAUACUUCGUUUUUAGGACACUACCUGAAACGUAAAAAAGACUCAUUCAUUCUUAAAUGCAUAAACGAAUGAUGAUACAUACAGUCAUAACCUUAAGGGGAGGUUAUUUUAUUGACUCUAUUUCCAUGGUAAACAACAAUAUUUGUUGAAUUUAGUCCCCAUUUAGUUCCCCUUGUAUAAUACAAAUCUAUUUAAAAAAAAAUAAGCUAAGAUUGAUUUUUGAAGUCAUAACACAAAUUCUUGAAUUAUUCUCAAGAAGCCAGAACUACAAUUUUAGUCCCAGUGAAUAAAAUGCUGUCUUCUCUAACCUUUGUAUAAUUAGACUGUAUUCCUAGGCCAAGCUAGUCAUAGCAAAGAUUCCUCAAGCAUUUAUUUGGUAAUUAAUUUGUGUCCAGAUUCCACACUCAUUUUAGUUUAGCAAUGAUGUGCUUGGGAUUAAAGUAUUGAUAGAUCACCUCAACCUGAAAAGCAUUCACUCUAUCAUGGUAAAUUAAUAUAUUUCUACAUAGUGUUAAGGUGCUGCUAUGGAUCAAAGAAAGUACAGACAUUCUCAAAGGGUUGGAUCCUAAUCAGUCUCACCUUGAGGCACAUACCUUAGGGACGAUGUGUAAAUUAUGGCACAGUAUGCUUAGGGACUAUGUGUAAAUUAUUUUGUAAUUAUUAUGCACACACACACUCAAAUAGAUCUGAAGCAUGUUUAGACUCUUGGUAUAGUUCAUAAUUUUCUUUUUAUCUUCCCAGCAUUCAUUUCCUUUUUAAAACAUAAUGCUAUCUCCAUAUUCCUCCUUGGGUUGUUACACCUGUCAACCUUUUCAUGCGCCCUCACAAAUAAGGUCAUGCGCGCACUUGCCUUUGAUAAUCAUAUAGCUGUCUCGUCCCAGAACUUGAAUGUUGAACGGAAAAAUAUUUGAACUAAAGUAUCGGAAACUGAUGCAAUUCGGGUUAUCCUGAUGAGACUGCCAUUAUUUUCUCCUCACAUGACACUAGACGCUUUUUUGGAUCUUGUCCUUCUCGGUCUUUAGCCCUCCCUGGGAGUCUGGAAGCUACUGCAUCUCUUUAUAAUAAACUCAUGUUAUGUUUAAUUAACCCAGAGCUUGUUUCCUCUGCUUAUACAGUCAGAGAACAACAAGAAAGGCAAAGGCCCUAUAUAUGAUUCUUUUAGUGCCUACAACUUGAAUCAUGUGUAUAUGAUCUGGUAGGAGAAAGGAAAUAAUAAAAAGUGUAGUGUCAUGGCAUUCCCUAAAAUCUUAUGUAUGACUUUCUGGAAUUUGAACUGUUAAUGGGCUUUACAAAUAUUCAGUUAUCCAGAGGUAGCCAGCAGAUUUGCCCUUGGUGAUUUGAGGCGCCAUGAAUGAUAACUUCACAUGUAGUAAGAGUUUCUUUUUCUAAGUUCAGCCGAAGUCCUUCAUUGUACGCAAGCCUGUUAUUAGAUCUUCACAUGUGACAAACGGCUUUCUCUUAGCCUCUCUUUUCCUCUCCACUGUCCAUCAUCCUUGCCUUGGAGACCAGGCUCUUCUCCUUUGAAUGCAUUAGUCAUUCAUGAAUAAUGACAUAAAAGCUGAGCUCUGCUCUGGAAAGAGCGUCUUUUAUUAUACUUUUCUAACGACCAUUCAUAUCUAUAACACUCAGCGGUUUUCUAAUUUUCUUUUAUAAAAGGAUGAGCUGUAACUGCAUCACAAAAUGACAUGGGGUCCAAAAUUAUUACCAGCUUCAUUAGUGAGGCUAAGAGAGGAAAAAAUAGAAAAAUGUGCUAUACUAUUAUCAGACAUGAGAAACCUUUGAUUAAGAAAACUAUAAAACAGCGUUUUGGAGGUGAAGGGGAUUACUGAAUGUAUAAACAUUAAUCAUAACAGAAAAACAUACCAUAAAAAAAGGAUUUAUUUUUCUAUCUAAACCUUUUGGGGAUUCUUUAAGAAAUUAAAAACUUUAAAUUUAUCUCAGCUAAAAUUUUGAAGUUAGUGUAUUAACAAAGUUAUGCAUUUUCAAAAUAUUCUCAACAAAGUAUUGUCCAAGAAAAAAUAUGAAAUAAAAAUUACUGGUUAAGGAGUUCCUAUCCUAUCUCAGUGAUAAUGAACCCAACUAGUAACCAUGAGGACGUGUAGGUUUGAUCCACUGGGUUAAGGAUCUGGCAUUGCUGUGAGCGGUGGUGUAGGUCACAGAAAGGUCUCAGAUCUGGCAUUGCCGUGGCUGUCGCAUAGGCUGGCCCCCAGCCUGGGAACUUCCAUAGGCCAUGGGUGCAGCCCUAAAAGGACCGAGAAAAAAAUUACUGGUUAAUUAAAAAAUAUUUUCGUAUUUAUAUUUGUGAAUAAUUUCAGCAAGACUAUUAAGAAACAUAAUAUUAUUUAAAUCUAAAUGAGAGUCUAUCACAAUUAAAAAAAGUGAUCAGAAUUGAGGUGUUAUAUAUAGAGUGAUAUGUAACAUAAUUAGGAUUAUUUUAUCUACAUGUUGCUGUUUUUCUUAAAUUUUAGAAAAAUAGAAAAUUCAAAUACAACACAAACUUUUUCAUGUUUCUCUUAGAUAUUUUUUAGUGAAGUUACAUUGGGAUAAAAUCUUUUUAGAUUGGAAUAAAAUCUAGAUUUAAAAGCUAAUUUGCAUAGAAUAAGUUCACCACAGUAUAAGAUAUUUUACUUUGUUUUUGUUUUUUUCCUAAUUGAAUAUGUAUCUUCCAAAAGAACCAGGGCAAUACCAUUAAUAAACUUCUUUCAGAUUUUUCCAUUCAAGUAGACUUUAUCUCCUUUAGUUACAUUAGUGCUUGCUAGGUAAAUCCCAAACUUUGGUUUUCAUUGUGAAUUCCAGCUACUUUUUGGAUCUUUACAUAAAAGAAUUUUUAAUCCAUUUACAAGAGGAAAUGGAGACAUAGGUAGUUACAGAGUGACCUGCAUUAUAAGUACGGUAUGUCAGUGUAAUAAGCACUGAUUGAAUUCUCUUUAUGACUUUCUUAGAGUAGCCCUGAGUAUGCUUAGAGAAUGCAAAAGCAUAUGAGGAAAAGGAUUUGCCCACCUAGACUUUUACAUUUAGAGAUAGAUCUGCAUAUACCCAUUUAUUUCCAAAUGCCUCCAAUAUUUAGAAGGCAGGACAUGUAGGAAUAUUCUCAUUUAUAAAUGAGACGUCCAGGGGUUCCCGCCGUGGCACAGUGGGUUAAGAAUCUGACUACGGGAGUUCCCAUCGUGGCGCAGUGGUUAACGAAUCCGACUAGGAACCAUGAGGUGGCGGGUUCGGUCCCUGCCCUUGCUCAGUGGGUUAACGAUCCGGCGUUGCCGUGAGCUGUGGUGUAGGUUGCAGACGCGGCUCGGAUCCCGCGUUGCUGUGGCUCUGGCGUAGGCCGGUGGCUACAGCUCCGAUUGGACCCCUAGCCUGGGAACCUCCAGAUGCCGCGGGAGCGGCCCAAGAAAUAGCAACAACAACAACAAAAGACAAAAAAAAAAA